GGGUUGUGAGGUUAAGCGACUAAGCGUACACGGUGGAUGCCCUGGCAGUCAGAGGCGAUGAAGGACGUGCUAAUCUGCGAUAAGCGUCGGUAAGGUGAUAUGAACCGUUAUAACCGGCGAUUUCCGAAUGGGGAAACCCAGUGUGAUUCGUCACACUAUCAUUAACUGAAUCCAUAGGUUAAUGAGGCGAACCGGGGGAACUGAAACAUCUAAGUACCCCGAGGAAAAGAAAUCAACCGAGAUUCCCCCAGUAGCGGCGAGCGAACGGGGAGGAGCCCAGAGCCUGAAUCAGUGUGUGUGUUAGUGGAAGCGUCUGGAAAGGCGCGCGAUACAGGGUGACAGCCCCGUACACAAAAAUGCACAUGCUGUGAGCUCGAUGAGUAGGGCGGGACACGUGGUAUCCUGUCUGAAUAUGGGGGGACCAUCCUCCAAGGCUAAAUACUCCUGACUGACCGAUAGUGAACCAGUACCGUGAGGGAAAGGCGAAAAGAACCCCGGCGAGGGGAGUGAAAAAGAACCUGAAACCGUGUACGUACAAGCAGUGGGAGCACAGAGCAAUCUGUGUGACUGCGUACCUUUUGUAUAAUGGGUCAGCGACUUAUAUUCUGUAGCAAGGUUAACCGAAUAGGGGAGCCGAAGGGAAACCGAGUCUUAACUGGGCGUUAAGUUGCAGGGUAUAGACCCGAAACCCGGUGAUCUAGCCAUGGGCAGGUUGAAGGUUGGGUAACACUAACUGGAGGACCGAACCGACUAAUGUUGAAAAAUUAGCGGAUGACUUGUGGCUGGGGGUGAAAGGCCAAUCAAACCGGGAGAUAGCUGGUUCUCCCCGAAAGCUAUUUAGGUAGCGCCUCGUGAAUUCAUCUCCGGGGGUAGAGCACUGUUUCGGCAAGGGGGUCAUCCCGACUUACCAACCCGAUGCAAACUGCGAAUACCGGAGAAUGUUAUCACGGGAGACACACGGCGGGUGCUAACGUCCGUCGUGAAGAGGGAAACAACCCAGACCGCCAGCUAAGGUCCCAAAGUCAUGGUUAAGUGGGAAACGAUGUGGGAAGGCCCAGACAGCCAGGAUGUUGGCUUAGAAGCAGCCAUCAUUUAAAGAAAGCGUAAUAGCUCACUGGUCGAGUCGGCCUGCGCGGAAGAUGUAACGGGGCUAAACCAUGCACCGAAGCUGCGGCAGCGACGCUUAUGCGUUGUUGGGUAGGGGAGCGUUCUGUAAGCCUGCGAAGGUGUGCUGUGAGGCAUGCUGGAGGUAUCAGAAGUGCGAAUGCUGACAUAAGUAACGAUAAAGCGGGUGAAAAGCCCGCUCGCCGGAAGACCAAGGGUUCCUGUCCAACGUUAAUCGGGGCAGGGUGAGUCGACCCCUAAGGCGAGGCCGAAAGGCGUAGUCGAUGGGAAACAGGUUAAUAUUCCUGUACUUGGUGUUACUGCGAAGGGGGGACGGAGAAGGCUAUGUUGGCCGGGCGACGGUUGUCCCGGUUUAAGCGUGUAGGCUGGUUUUCCAGGCAAAUCCGGAAAAUCAAGGCUGAGGCGUGAUGACGAGGCACUACGGUGCUGAAGCAACAAAUGCCCUGCUUCCAGGAAAAGCCUCUAAGCAUCAGGUAACAUCAAAUCGUACCCCAAACCGACACAGGUGGUCAGGUAGAGAAUACCAAGGCGCUUGAGAGAACUCGGGUGAAGGAACUAGGCAAAAUGGUGCCGUAACUUCGGGAGAAGGCACGCUGAUAUGUAGGUGAAGCGACUUGCUCGUGGAGCUGAAAUCAGUCGAAGAUACCAGCUGGCUGCAACUGUUUAUUAAAAACACAGCACUGUGCAAACACGAAAGUGGACGUAUACGGUGUGACGCCUGCCCGGUGCCGGAAGGUUAAUUGAUGGGGUCAGCGCAAGCGAAGCUCUUGAUCGAAGCCCCGGUAAACGGCGGCCGUAACUAUAACGGUCCUAAGGUAGCGAAAUUCCUUGUCGGGUAAGUUCCGACCUGCACGAAUGGCGUAAUGAUGGCCAGGCUGUCUCCACCCGAGACUCAGUGAAAUUGAACUCGCUGUGAAGAUGCAGUGUACCCGCGGCAAGACGGAAAGACCCCGUGAACCUUUACUAUAGCUUGACACUGAACAUUGAGCCUUGAUGUGUAGGAUAGGUGGGAGGCUUUGAAGUGUGGACGCCAGUCUGCAUGGAGCCGACCUUGAAAUACCACCCUUUAAUGUUUGAUGUUCUAACGUGGACCCGUAAUCCGGGUUGCGGACAGUGUCUGGUGGGUAGUUUGACUGGGGCGGUCUCCUCCUAAAGAGUAACGGAGGAGCACGAAGGUUGGCUAAUCCUGGUCGGACAUCAGGAGGUUAGUGCAAUGGCAUAAGCCAGCUUGACUGCGAGCGUGACGGCGCGAGCAGGUGCGAAAGCAGGUCAUAGUGAUCCGGUGGUUCUGAAUGGAAGGGCCAUCGCUCAACGGAUAAAAGGUACUCCGGGGAUAACAGGCUGAUACCGCCCAAGAGUUCAUAUCGACGGCGGUGUUUGGCACCUCGAUGUCGGCUCAUCACAUCCUGGGGCUGAAGUAGGUCCCAAGGGUAUGGCUGUUCGCCAUUUAAAGUGGUACGCGAGCUGGGUUUAGAACGUCGUGAGACAGUUCGGUCCCUAUCUGCCGUGGGCGCUGGAGAACUGAGGGGGGCUGCUCCUAGUACGAGAGGACCGGAGUGGACGCAUCACUGGUGUUCGGGUUGUCAUGCCAAUGGCACUGCCCGGUAGCUAAAUGCGGAAGAGAUAAGUGCUGAAAGCAUCUAAGCACGAAACUUGCCCCGAGAUGAGUUCUCCCUGACUCCUUGAGAGUCCUGAAGGAACGUUGAAGACGACGACGUUGAUAGGCCGGGUGUGUAAGCGCAGCGAUGCGUUGAGCUAACCGGUACUAAUGAACCGUGAGGCUUAACCUUACAACGCCGAAGGUGUUU
Molecule: ribosomal RNA, 2933 nt
Filed under: Escherichia coli
Lineage: Bacteria; Pseudomonadati; Pseudomonadota; Gammaproteobacteria; Enterobacterales; Enterobacteriaceae
Description: bacterial LSU rRNA
Rfam family: Bacterial large subunit ribosomal RNA
Source: RNAcentral